CAGGGAGACAACAAAANGAGAAUNCNNUAUUGUGGUCCUUAGGUCGAGCGGUAUCACACCUUUUUAAUUUAUUAAAAAGUUCAUUUCCUAAGUUUUUCUAGGUCACACCCAUUAUUUUUCCUGGGUCAUUAUCUCAAGGGGAUAAAACGCACCCCUGAUAAGGGUGANGUCCCUGGUUUUUAUNGGGAUGGCCCAUAUCUCUAUGUUGGGGGUAUAGCUCAGUUGGAAGAACGCCUGCUUUGCAAGCAGGAUGUCAGCGGUUCAAGUCCGCUUACCUCCUUUGAUUACCACUUCUUCCAUAAUUGGUAAAAAGGAAAUGUUUUGAGUAGUGAACAAAUCUCAAAGAAUCUANCUUCCUAAUGAAAACAUUAAAAUGCUGGACUCAUUGAAUUAAUUUCAUUGUUUUCAAAGAACCUUGACNACUGCAUAGAUUAUUUUUAAAGAUUUAACCAUCUUUAAUGAUGCAUAUUUAUUAUUUGUGCGAAUGCAUUAAUAACAANUCUAUUANNCUAUAUGCUUCNAUUUUUGAAAUUUAUU
Molecule: transfer RNA, 537 nt
Filed under: uncultured Prochlorococcus sp.
Lineage: Bacteria; Bacillati; Cyanobacteriota; Cyanophyceae; Synechococcales; Prochlorococcaceae
Description: partial 16S-23S ribosomal RNA intergenic spacer
Rfam family: tRNA (bases 208-280)
Source: RNAcentral